Long non-coding RNA from Sebastes umbrosus (honeycomb rockfish), 484 nucleotides. RefSeq lists it as uncharacterized. The transcript has 3 exons. The record is from RefSeq and is a predicted model, not a curated record. Lineage: Eukaryota; Metazoa; Chordata; Actinopteri; Perciformes; Sebastidae.
UGACCUUUGACCAACAAAAUCUAAUCAGUUCAUCAUCCUUUGUGCCAAAUCUGAAGAAAUUCCCUCCAGGUGUUCCUGAGGUAUCGCGUUCAUGAGAAUAAGACGGACAGACGGACGGAAGUACAGACGGACGCACGGAAGUACAGACGGACGGACAACCUGAAAAUAUAAUGCCUCCAGCCACAGCACUCGCCGGCGUGAGUCAUAACAAAAUUUUGCAUUCAUCGAGCAAAAAGCUGCGGAAUAUAUCUGGCAGAGGAACACAGAGUGAAACCGGCGCGCUCCUCGGCUUUCCCCAGGACGAUUACUGUAUUAUACGCAGCGGGGGAAAGCCUCACAGUUUGCUGGCUUCCCUCUGUCAGGUGCAUCACUAAACAUACUGUGCAUCCCUAGUCGGUGUCGCUCCUGUCAGAUCCGGUCUGAUCCAGUCGGGUGAAGGAGAUGGCGGGGGGGUUGGCGGGGCGAGACACAGGCAGCCAUUUGU